AUGGCCGCGAAACUAGUAUUCCCCCAGGACAACCCACCACUUUCCAUCAUUUCUGCUGCUAAGAUUGCAGUUGUUCCUAUAACCACUGAUCCCUGCCUCCCCUCAGGUUCAGUGCCCACACUACACUUCGGUUCUGGGGACUUUAUACAUGGUGUCAACACAGUUCUUCGCUAUAUUGCCACUACAUCUGUCUCCAGCUUCUAUGGCGAGAACGCUAUUCAGGAAGCACGUGUUGAUGAAUGGCUCGAGUACGCACCACUCAUUCUUUCAGGCUCUGAAUUUGAAGCCGCUUGCUCAUUUCUUGAUGGAUACUUGGCAUCUCGAACCUUUUUGGUUGGUCAUGGUCUGACAGUUGCUGACAUUGUAGUGUGGUCAAACCUCAGAGGAGCUGGUCAACGAUGGGAAAGUUUAAGGAGGUCAAGGAAGUACCAAAACCUUGUCCGUUGGUUCAACAGCGUAGCUGUAGACUAUGCACUAGAGGAAGUUACAUCUGUUUAUGUUGGAAAGCGAGCAAUUGGCAAAUCUCCCGCACCAUGCCUGAAAGAAAAGAUGCCUGGCUUGAAGAACACCUCAGGUCAUGAGAUAGAUCUCCCAGGUGCAAAAGUUGGGGAGGUUUGCGUACGUUUUGCCCCAGAGCCUAGCGGAUAUCUCCACAUUGGUCAUGCUAAGGCUGCACUGUUGAACCAGUAUUUUGCAGAUAGAUAUAAAGGACGUCUCUUAGUUCGAUUUGAUGACACAAAUCCUUCCAAAGAAAGCAGCGAAUUUGUUGAGAACGUCCUGAAGGAUAUUGAGACCCUUGGAGUUAAAUACGAUGCAGUUACAUACACAUCGGAUUAUUUCCCAAAGCUAAUGGAAAUGGCCGAAUGUUUGAUUAAGCAGGGAAAGGCAUAUGUUGAUGAUACACCCAAGGAUAAAAUGAAUACUGAAAGGAGGGACGGUGUGGAAUCUAAAUGUAGAAACAGUACUGUUGAGGAGAACUUGUUGUUGUGGAGUGAGAUGGUUAAUGGUACCAAGAGGGGUACUCAGUGCUGUGUGCGUGGUAAACUUGACAUGCAGGAACCCAACAAAUCACUUCGAGAUCCUGUUUACUACCGUUGCAACCCUGAUCCCCAUCACCGAGUUGGCUCAAAAUACAAGGUCUAUCCAACAUAUGACUUUGCAUGCCCAUUUGUUGACGCAUUGCAAGGAGUGACUCAUGCUCUUCGUUCAAGUGAAUAUCAUGAUCGGAACGCACAGUACUACCGUAUCCUUCAGGACAUGGGGCUGCGGAGGGUUGAAAUCUUUGAGUUCAGCAGACUGAAUAUGGUUUAUACCGUCCUUAGCAAGCGCACGCUUCGCUGGUUUGUACAAAACAAGAAGGUGGACGACUGGACUGACGCACGCUUUCCCACUGUACAAGGCAUAUUACGCCGUGGCUUGAAGAUUGAAGCCUUGAUCCAGUUUAUACUCGAGCAGGGUGCUUCAAAGAAUCUGAAUCUCAUGGAAUGGGAUAAACUCUGGACAAUCAACAAGAAGAUAAUUGAUCCAGUAUGUGGAAGGCAUACUGCUGUGCUGAAGGACAAAAGUGUGCCCUCACUUACUAAUGGCCCAGAGGUACCAUUCAUUUGA
RNAcentral lists this ribosomal RNA (1608 nucleotides) under Triticum aestivum (bread wheat). RNAcentral describes it as "partial small subunit ribosomal RNA". Lineage: Eukaryota; Viridiplantae; Streptophyta; Magnoliopsida; Poales; Poaceae. The record is from RNAcentral.